AUACGGAGGAUCCGAGCGUUAUCCGGAUUUAUUGGGUUUAAAGGGUGCGUAGGCGGCCUUUUAAGUCAGCGGUGAAAGUCUGUGGCUCAACCAUAGAAUUGCCGUUGAAACUGGGAGGCUUGAGUAUGUUUGAGGCAGGCGGAAUGCGUGGUGUAGCGGGGAAAUGCUUAGAUAUCCAGCAGAACCCCGAUUGCGAAGGGAGCCUGCCAAGCCAUGACUGACGCUGAUGCACGAAAGCGUGGGGAUCAAACAGGAUUAGAUACCCUGGUAGUCCACGCAGUAAACGAUGAUCACUAGCUGUUUGCGAUACAGUGUAAGCGGCACAGCGAAAGCGUUAAGUGAUCCACCUGGGGAGUACGCCGGCAACGGUGAAACUCAAAUGAAUUGGCGGGG
RNAcentral lists this ribosomal RNA (393 nucleotides) under uncultured bacterium. RNAcentral describes it as "partial 16S ribosomal RNA". It matches the Rfam family "Bacterial small subunit ribosomal RNA", at positions 523 to 918 of the family's 1533-position model. The record is from RNAcentral.